GACGAACGCUGGCGGCGCGCCUAACACAUGCAAGUCGAACGAGCGAGGGAGAGCUUGCUUUCUCGAGCGAGUGGCGAACGGGUGAGUAACGCGUGAGUAACCUGCCUCAAAGAGGGGGACAACAGUUGGAAACGACUGCUAAUACCGCAUAAGCGCACGGGUCGGCAUCGACCAGAGGGAAAAGGAGCAAUCGGCUUUGAGAUGGCCUCGCGUCCGAUUAGGUAGUUGGUGAGGUAACGGCCCACCAAGGCAACGAUUGGUAGCCGGACUGGGAGGUUGAACGGCCACAUUGGGACUGAGACACGGCCCAGACUCCUACGCGAGGCAGCAGUGGGUAAUAUUGCACAAUGGGGGAAACCCUGAUGCAGCGACGCCGCGUAGAGGAAGAAGGUCUUCGGAUUGUAAACUCCUGUUGUUGGGGAAGAUAAUGACGGUACCCAACAAAGAAGUGACGGCUAACUACGUG
Molecule: ribosomal RNA, 466 nt
Filed under: uncultured bacterium
Lineage: Bacteria
Description: partial 16S ribosomal RNA
Rfam family: Bacterial small subunit ribosomal RNA
Source: RNAcentral